ACAAUAUCGUUCUACGGCGAAGUCGAGCCUGGGAUUGGUGGGGGCCUGGACCGGGAUGUGACAAUUUGGUAUUAGAGCCAAUCCCUAGCAGAAAGUGUGUCGACGAAGAGGUUGGGCCCCUAAGGGGGUGGAUUGUAACAUCCUACAUCGCAUAGGAGAGUGGAUCCUCUAAACCUUAUAUGUAUAUUCCCAUAUCUACCUAGCACGAGGCUUUUUAGGAACUCAUUGGCUUCGGGUUCCAUAGGAACUCCGAAGUUAAGCGAGUUCG
This 268-nucleotide long non-coding RNA is filed under the name Malus domestica (apple). RNAcentral describes it as "long non-coding RNA (MDOM_LNC002984)". The record is from RNAcentral. Lineage: Eukaryota; Viridiplantae; Streptophyta; Magnoliopsida; Rosales; Rosaceae.